GAAUUUUGGGGUUUUUUUUUCUUUUUUCAGAGAAUUUCUGGCCAAGAAGGAUCAUCAAACUUCACUAAAAAGUUUGGUUUCUGGUUCUCAAAUUGUUAUUAGAAGUUUGGUUCUUUGUCUUUUGAGAAUUGGUUAGGAUUUUGAGGUUAUGGGGUUUUUUUCUUUUUUCGGAGAAUUUCUGGCCAAGAAGGAUCAUCAAGCCUCUCCGAAAAAGCCAGCCCAUCACAGGUAUGCAUUUCUUGGGCUUUUCAAUUUGAUUUCUGGUUCUCGAAUUGUUAUUAGAAGUUUGGUUCUUUGUCUUUUGAAAAUUAGUUGAGAUUUUAAGGUUAUGAGGUUUUUUCCUUUUUCGGAGAAUUUAUGGCCAAGAAUGAUCAUCAAGCUUCUCCGAAAAAGCCAGCCCAUCACAGGAUUUUGAGAUUAUGGGAUUUUUUUCUUUUUUCGGAGAAUUUCUGGCUAAGAAGGAUCAUCAAGCUUCUCCGAAAAAGCCAGCCCAUCACAGAGAAUUUAUGGCCAAGAAAGAUCCUCAAGCUUCUUCGAAAAAGCCAGCUCAUCACAGAAUUUCUGGCCAAAAAGGAUCAUCAAGCUUCUCCGAAAAAGCCAGCCCAUCACAGGUUAUGGAGUUUUUUCUUUUUUCGGAGAAUUUCUGGCCAAGAAGGAUCAUCAAGCUUCUCCGAAAAAGCCAGCCCAUCACAGGUAUGCAUUUCUUGGGCUUUUCAAUUUGAUUUCUGGUUCUCGAAUUGUUAUUAGAAGUUUGGUUCUUUGUCUUUUGAGAAUUGGUUGAGAUUUUGAGGUUAUUGGGUUUUUUCUUUUUUCGGAGAAUUUCUGGCCAAGAAGGAUCAUCAAGCUUCUCUGAAAAAGCCAGCCCAUCACAGAUGAAGUUCAAAAUCUUAACCCGACCUUGGACUGUGGGAGAAGAGGUCGGGAGAGGUACGGUACCCACAGAUGGAAAGUGGUAGUCAGAUUUCUUGAAAUAAAAACAUGCAGAGAAUGCCAAUCUCGGUGGUUUGAGUGGCUCAACCCCCAAAUAAGAAGAGACGAAUGAAGCGAAAUGGAGGAUACAAAGCUUCGGGAGCUGUCUAGAAUAAUGUCAGCUCAGUGGCAGACUAUUUCAGAGCUUUUCAACUAUAGCCGUACUGCAAUGGCUUGCCAACUGAGGCACGCAUGCCUCCUUGAAAACCCACAACCACAUGUAUGUAUUCCUUCUAAUUUUCUUAAUUUGAUAUUCUUUUGAAGAAUUGUGUUUAGGGUUAUGGGCUUCUUAGGGUUAAAGAAUUGUGUUUAGGCUAUGGAUUUAUUAAUUUGAUUUUCGGUUCUAAUUGGGUUUGGAGUUAUUGUUAGUUAGUUAGUUAGUUAGUUAGUACAUUAAUGAGCUAGUUGGUAGGAUUUAGUUCCCUAAUAAGGUUGGUAGUUGGUAGGAUAAGGUUGGUAGCCUUAAUUCCCUAAAUUAGGGGAUUGACUUUAGGAGUUCCACGGCUUAGAAGCCAAGGCCAGCUACCCUCUUGUUUGUUUCUGUUUAGGGGCUUGGAGAGGAAGCCAACUCUCUUUGUAUAUGUCUUAUUGUAAGUGAUUCAAUGUAACUAUGAAAAACUGCAA
Non-coding RNA from Prunus avium (sweet cherry), 1593 nucleotides. The record is from RefSeq and is a predicted model, not a curated record. NCBI's taxonomy places the organism in Eukaryota, Viridiplantae, Streptophyta, Magnoliopsida, Rosales, Rosaceae.